UACGUAGGGUGCAAGCGUUAAUCGGAAUUACUGGGCGUAAAGCGUGCGCAGGCGGUUUUGUAAGUUUGUCGUGAAAGCCCCGGGCUCAACCUGGGAAUGGCGAUGAAGACUGCAAGGCUUGAAUCUGGCAGAGGGGGGUAGAAUUCCACGUGUAGCAGUGAAAUGCGUAGAGAUGUGGAGGAACACCGAUGGCGAAGGCA
RNAcentral lists this ribosomal RNA (200 nucleotides) under uncultured bacterium. RNAcentral describes it as "partial 16S ribosomal RNA". It matches the Rfam family "Bacterial small subunit ribosomal RNA", at positions 524 to 723 of the family's 1533-position model. The record is from RNAcentral.